CGGAUUCCAGCUGCUUUCCAAGUUGGAGGCGCCUAGUGAGGGUCAGGGAGGCCCGGCCCGCGCCCUCCCCGCCCAGCCGCCUCCCCGUCGACCACCCAGGGCUGGGGCGAGCCAGGCUGCCUUUCGAACUUGGGGGCUUCUCCUCUUGUCUCCCACUGGUGCUCUGGCCGUGAAUCCAUCCAGGCGCCAGGAGAUGACAAUCCGGUACCAAGGCCGGCAGUACAGGCUGAGGAUGGCAUUUCUCCAAAAGGUUUCCAAGCUGCGUCCUGGGCCUGGAGACUGAGACAGAGAUCCACGGACUGCAGUGCAGGCAGCCCACCCCAGAUCCGAGUCAUAUAAGGUCCAGUCACAUCUUCUAUGCCUAUCUCAGCUGCUGACACGUGACUCAGCUGCUCCCAUUUUCCUUGGAAAAGUAGGAGCUGGAAAGGACCUCAGUCAGAGGUCAUCCACAUCAACCAUCUCAUUUCACUGAUGAGGAAACUGAGACUUGGACCAGGGGAAGUCAGCUGCCAUGUUGUGAGGACACUCAAGCAAUCCUAUGGAGAGGCCCAUGUGAUGAGGAACUGAAGCCUCCUGCCAACAGCCAUGUGAGGGCACCAUCUUGGAAGCAGAUCCGCCAACUUCACCCAAGCCUUCAGAUGAAUAUAGCCCUGACCGACAUCUUCACUACAAUCUCAUGAGAGAACCUGCGCCAGCACUACCUAGCUAUGAUGCUGCAAAAUUCCUGACCCAUAGAAACUGUGAGAUAAUAAAUGCCUGUUGUGUUAAGCCACAAGUUUUGUGGAAAUUUGUUACUCAGCAAUAACUAACAUGAGAGUUAGCUGAAGGUCACAUUCUUGUUGAGUAGUGGAAAGGGUUUUGUUAACCCUUCACCCACUGUGGUUCACUUGAUAAAUGAUAGAUGAAUAAAGAGUGAA
This 917-nucleotide long non-coding RNA is filed under the name Homo sapiens (human). Its description in RNAcentral is "HSALNT0391143". The record is from RNAcentral. Lineage: Eukaryota; Metazoa; Chordata; Mammalia; Primates; Hominidae.